CAAUUUACAGAUGACGUAAUUUGUAAAUAAACACGUUUGUGUUAAUAACAAUAUCCUUAAUAUUAUCAAUACAGAUUAACAACUAGUUAUUGACAUAGGAUACCUCCUUUAUUCUGUAAAGGUUUGAGAAGGGUUUUUCGUUUACAAUGAAGACGUCGGAUGACAUCUUGACCCUCCUUGGAGGUUACGGCUGGUUCCAAAUGCUGGUUUUUGUGGCGACUGGUAUGGUAUUGAUGAGCGAGGCUUGGUCCACGUUUUCACCUAUGUACCUGGGGUACGAACCAGGGCACCACUGUCGGGUACCGCAAGACAGGACGCCUAACGAGACCAUUCCAGCAAGAAUGACGAAAGGAGUGUGGGUUUUGGAGAAGUGUAUAAUGUUAAAUAUUAGCGGUGAAUCAACCAGGUCCACAAGUGGGGUUGCUACACAACCCUGUCAUGACGGGUGGACGUAUUUGUGGGAGAAUGCUGGGAGAACGUCAUUUGUAUCUGAGUGGGACCUAGUGUGUGGUAAGAACUAUCUGGUGGAAUUGUCCACGACCGUGUACAUGGUGGGGGCCACAGUAGGUUCCGUUUUCUUGACGCCAUUUUCAGACAGGUUCGGCCGGAAGUGGAUGAUGCUGGGAUACUUCUGGGCUCAGAGCGUGCUAGGAUUCGGUUUGGUCUGGUCAGACAGCAUUGUCACGUUCACCGUACUAAGGUUCUUCAUUGGAGCAUUAGAUGUUGCGUCGUCUGUAGCGGCCUAUGUGCUGAUGAUCGAGGUGUUUCCGUCCAGUUACCGCAUGGCACCAUCAGUGAUGUGUCAAGCCUUUUGGUCGGCAGGGGUGAUGAGCUUCGCCCUGUUCGGGUAUUUAUUCCAUGACUGGAGGCGACUCCAAAUGAUUAUUACACUGCCAAGCAUCGUCACAGUCGUUUACGCUUGGCUCCUGCCUGAAUCCAUUUUGUGGUUGAUCUCAGAAGGGCGACUUGGCGAGGCCGAGAGAGUUCUGAGAACAGCCGCCAAGACCAACAGUAAAGUGUUACCGUCAAAUAUUAGGACGAUCCUCGAGAACGUAUCCAAGGGAGACAAGGACGAGACCAAUCAUACAGCUAUAUCCAGCACCAGCAACAAGACAAAUCCUGCAGCUAUAUCCGGUAUCAGCAACCCCGCAGUGUCUACUACUGACCCGGACUCUGUUUCGCCGGGCGAUGUCUCCACCUCUUUUGAAAACCAACACAAGAAGACAAUGGCGGACGGUGGCCAGGAAACGACCGACGCACCAGAAUCAGUGGUCAGCCAAAACGGACGGCAACAAGAACGCGACGAUGACGUCACUGGUGUUAGCGUUAAGGAAUCACACACGUCUGUGAAAGUAGUUAAUCCCAGCAACCAGCGAAAUGAAAUGACUGUCAUCGGCAUGUUCCUGCAGCCAAACAUAAGAAAUUACUCCAUUAUCAUCUUCUACUUGUAUUUCGUGCUCAGCCUGAGUUAUAUCGGAAUAAUAUUCUCGACUCCGGUCUUACACGGAAACCGGUUUCUGAACUUGUUCAUCAGUGGAGCGAUAGCAAUCCCAGCCCUCUUGAUGUGCACGUUUCUCAAUGAAAGAAUCGGUCGUCGUAUACCGAUUUGCAUCUGUCUGCUGGUUUGCUUCGCUGUGAACACCGUUCUGGUGUUUCUCCCCGCACACACGGCUGACGGGGCUGAUUUGAAAUGGUUACAAAUCUCGCUGGUCAUGAUUGGGUUAUUUGGAAUCACCGGAAGUUACUCCAGUAUCGUCUUGUAUGCAUCUGAGAUAUUUCCCACGACAGUAAGGUGAAAGCAUGUUUUAUUUACAUCUAAACCGCCCAACAAUAAAUCUGAAAGACACAGACAACAAAGAAAGAAAAAGAAGAAACACAAACCAAAACGAAACAAGUAAUCAAACAAAACAAAACAAAUAAACCAAGCUCUGGGGAUUGCGUCAUUCUUUGAUAACAUUGGCGGGAUUUGUGCACCCAUUAUUGUUUACACUGCAAAGAAGAACGCAACUAUUCCACUGAUGAUUUUUGCUGUGGGCACUGUGG
This 2043-nucleotide unclassified non-coding RNA is filed under the name Gigantopelta aegis. Its description in RNAcentral is "solute carrier family 22 member 5-like, transcript variant X1". The record is from RNAcentral. Lineage: Eukaryota; Metazoa; Mollusca; Gastropoda; Neomphalida; Peltospiridae.